CCCGCUGAACUUAAGCAUAUCAAUAAGCGGAGGAAAAGAAACUAACAAGGAUUCCCCUAGUAACUGCGAGUGAAGCGGGAAGAGCUCAAAUUUAAAAUCUGGCGGUCUGUGCGGCCGUCCGAGUUGUAAUCUGGAGAAGCGUUUUCCGCGUCGGACCGUGUACAAGUCUUCUGGAACGGAGCGUCGUAGAGGGUGAGAAUCCCGUCUCUGACACGGACCGCCGAUGCUUUAUGUGAUACGCUCUCGAAGAGUCGAGUUGUUUGGGAAUGCAGCUCAAAAUGGGUGGUAAAUUCCAUCUAAAGCUAAAUACUGGCGAGAGACCGAUAGCGAACAAGUACCGUGAGGGAAAGAUGAAAAGCACUUUGGAAAGAGAGUUAAACAGUACGUGAAAUUGUUGAAAGGGAAACGUUUGAAGUCAGUCGCGUCGGCCGGGACUCAACCUUGCGCUCGCGCUCGGUGCACUUCUCGGUUGACGGGUCAGCAUCAAUUUCGACCGCCGGACAAAGGUUGGGGGAAUGUGGCAUCCUUCGGGAUGUGUUAUAGCCCUUGAUUCACAUACGGCGAUUGGGAUUGAGGAACUCGGCGCCUCGCGCGUCCAGGAUGCUGGCAUAAUGGCUUUAAGCGACCCGUCUUGAAACACGG
Molecule: ribosomal RNA, 642 nt
Filed under: uncultured fungus
Lineage: Eukaryota; Fungi
Description: eukaryotic LSU rRNA
Rfam family: Eukaryotic large subunit ribosomal RNA
Source: RNAcentral